Pangasius djambal is the source of this 72-nucleotide non-coding RNA. The record is from the annotation of a GenBank genome assembly. Lineage: Eukaryota; Metazoa; Chordata; Actinopteri; Siluriformes; Pangasiidae.
UCCCUGGAGGUCUAGUGGUUAGGCCACAGUGCUCUCACCACUGCCACCCAGGUUCAACUCCUGGCCAGGUAA